This 220-nucleotide long non-coding RNA is filed under the name Elaeis guineensis (African oil palm). RNAcentral's name for it is "long non-coding RNA (EGUI_LNC004242)". The record is from RNAcentral. Lineage: Eukaryota; Viridiplantae; Streptophyta; Magnoliopsida; Arecales; Arecaceae.
AUUAUAAUAUAUUAUAGUAUAUUAUAAUAAUAUUUUAUAUUAAUAUAAUAUAAUAUAUAUUUUUAUAUAUAAUAAUAUAGUAUAAUAUACUAUAAAAUAUUAAUAUCUAAUAUAUUAUAUUAUUAUAUAUUAUUAUAUUAUUAUAAGGUUAAGAGUAUAUUAGGAAUGAAUUAAAAAGGUUAUCUUUUUUAUUGACGGAAAAAUAAUUUAACCACCCCAU